RNAcentral lists this long non-coding RNA (228 nucleotides) under Nicotiana benthamiana. RNAcentral's name for it is "long non-coding RNA (NBEN_LNC041251)". Lineage: Eukaryota; Viridiplantae; Streptophyta; Magnoliopsida; Solanales; Solanaceae. The record is from RNAcentral.
AAAAACUGAAGUUAAUAAAUAUACUCACAAAUAUUUUGCAAGCCAAGUCCAUCUUCUUAGUCAUCGCUUCUUCUGUCCAUAUUGAUACUCUAUGAAAAGUUUUAUUUGCCGUUUUUCUCCGUUCGCAAAACCACUCUCCCAACUUUUCUUGGAUGAAAUCUAAUAUUCUUAAAAUAGGCAUUUUUUUACCUUUUAGUAAAACGAAAUUCAUUCUACCAUGUUGGUUGU